RNAcentral lists this ribosomal RNA (462 nucleotides) under Streptomyces sp. A00085. RNAcentral describes it as "bacterial SSU rRNA". It matches the Rfam family "Bacterial small subunit ribosomal RNA", at positions 38 to 516 of the family's 1533-position model. The record is from RNAcentral. Lineage: Bacteria; Bacillati; Actinomycetota; Actinomycetes; Kitasatosporales; Streptomycetaceae.
GGCGGCGUGCUUACACAUGCAAGUCGAACGAUGAAACCGCUUCGGUGGUGGAUUAGUGGCGAACGGGUGAGUAACACGUGGGCAAUCUGCCCUUCACUCUGGGACAAGCCCUGGAAACGGGGUCUAAUACCGGAUAACACUCUGUCCCGCAUGGGACGGGGUUGAAAGCUCCGGCGGUGAAGGAUGAGCCCGCGGCCUAUCAGCUUGUUGGUGGGGUAAUGGCCUACCAAGGCGACGACGGGUAGCCGGCCUGAGAGGGCGACCGGCCACACUGGGACUGAGACACGGCCCAGACUCCUACGGGAGGCAGCAGUGGGGAAUAUUGCACAAUGGGCGAAAGCCUGAUGCAGCGACGCCGCGUGAGGGAUGACGGCCUUCGGGUUGUAAACCUCUUUCAGCAGGGAAGAAGCGAAAGUGACGGUACCUGCAGAAGAAGCGCCGGCUAACUACGUGCCAGCAGCC